Molecule: ribosomal RNA, 253 nt
Filed under: uncultured bacterium
Lineage: Bacteria
Description: partial 16S ribosomal RNA
Rfam family: Bacterial small subunit ribosomal RNA
Source: RNAcentral
UACGUAGGGACCAAGCGUUGUUCGGAUUUACUGGGCGUAAAGGGCGCGUAGGCGGCCUAGCAAGUCACUUGUGAAAUCUCCGGGCUUAACUCGGAACUGCCAAGUGAAACUGCUGGGCUAGAGUGCAGAAGGGGCAAUCGGAAUUCUUGGUGUAGCGGUGAAAUGCGUAGAUAUCAAGAGGAACACCUGAGGUGAAGACGGGUUGCUGGGCUGACACUGACGCUGAUGCGCGAAAGCGUGGGGAGCGAACAGG